AUGACAGUGUCGGCGACGACGGAGGAGCCGUCGGCGAACGCCACGCGGCCGUCGGCGUGCAGGCGGUCUAUCUGCGGGUGGAGGUGCAGGUUGGCGUGGUUCGCCAGCAUCUUGGACAUCGCCGGCGUCAUGGCCUCCUCCACGGACUUGGCAGUGAGGUGCACCUCCUUGGCGACGCGGCGGAGGUCCAGCGCGAUGUCCUUGCCGCUGUCCCCGCACCCGACCAUCACCACCACCUCGCCGCGGAACGGCUCCGGCGUCCGGUACGAGUGGCUGUGCAGCUGCCUCCGCGGCCAGUCCUCCAUGCCGUUGAUGCUCGGGAGCUUCGGCUGCGAGUAG
This 339-nucleotide ribosomal RNA is filed under the name Triticum aestivum (bread wheat). RNAcentral's name for it is "partial small subunit ribosomal RNA". The record is from RNAcentral. Lineage: Eukaryota; Viridiplantae; Streptophyta; Magnoliopsida; Poales; Poaceae.